AACGAACGCUGGCGGCCUGCCUAACACAUUCACGUCGAACGAGAUCUUCGGGUCUAGUGGCGCACGGGUGCGUAACGCGUGGGAAUCUGACCUUUGGUUCGGAAUAACAGAUGGAAACGACUGCUAUUACCGGAAGAUGACGAAAGACCAAAGAUUUAUCGUCAGUGGAGGAGCCAGCGUAGGAUUAGCUAGUUGGUUGGGGAAAGGCCCACCAAGGCGACGAUCCUUAGCUGGUCUGUGAGGAUGAGCAGCCACACUGAGACUGAGACACGUCCCAGAGUCCUACGGGAGGCAGCGGUGGGGACUAUUGGACAAUGGGCGAAAGCCUGAUCCAGCAAGGCCGCGUGAGUAAUGAAGGCCUUAGGGUUGUAAAGCUCUUUUACCCGGGAUGAUAAUGACAGUACCGGGAGAAUAAGCUCCGGCUAACUCCGUGCCAGCCGCCGCAGUAA
This 449-nucleotide ribosomal RNA is filed under the name uncultured bacterium. RNAcentral's name for it is "partial 16S ribosomal RNA". It matches the Rfam family "Bacterial small subunit ribosomal RNA", at positions 29 to 523 of the family's 1533-position model. The record is from RNAcentral.